CGCGGUAAUACGGAGGGUGCGAGCGUUAAUCGGAAUUACUGGGCGUAAAGCGCAUGCAGGCGGCCUGUUAAGUCAGAUGUGAAAGCCCGGGGCUUAACCUCGGAAUUGCAUUUGAAACUGGCAGGCUACAGUCUUGUAGAGGGGGGUAGAAUUUCAGGUGUAGCGGUGAAAUGCGUAGAGAUCUGAAGGAAUACCAGUGGCGAAGGCGGCCCCCUGGACAAAGACUGACGCUCAGAUGCGAAAGCGUGGGGAGCAAACAGGAUUAGAUACCCUGGUAGUCCACGCCGUAAACGAUGUCUACUUGGAGGUUGUGGCCUUGAGCCGUGGCUUUCGGAGCUAACGCGUUAAGUAGACCGCCUGGGGAGUACGGUCGCAAGAUUAAAACUCAAAUGAAUUGACGGGGGCCCGCACAAGCGGUGGAGCAUGUGGUUUAAUUCGAUGCAACGCGAAGAACCUUACCUACUCUUGACAUCCAGAGAA
RNAcentral lists this ribosomal RNA (480 nucleotides) under Photobacterium damselae. RNAcentral's name for it is "bacterial SSU rRNA". It matches the Rfam family "Bacterial small subunit ribosomal RNA", at positions 516 to 995 of the family's 1533-position model. Lineage: Bacteria; Pseudomonadati; Pseudomonadota; Gammaproteobacteria; Vibrionales; Vibrionaceae. The record is from RNAcentral.